Molecule: ribosomal RNA, 309 nt
Filed under: uncultured eukaryote
Lineage: Eukaryota
Description: partial 18S ribosomal RNA
Rfam family: Eukaryotic small subunit ribosomal RNA
Source: RNAcentral
CCCUUAGAUGUUCUGGGCGGCCCGCGCACUACACUGGCACUCUCAAACAGAGCCUGGAUCUAACACUUUGGGGUAUUCUAUGAAGUGGUGUCGUGACUGGGAUUAACCCUUGCAAUUAUUGGUUACGAACGAGGAAUUCCUUGUAAUCGCGGUUUAUCAGCCCGCGUUGAAUGCGUCCCUGCCCUUUGUACACACCGCCCGUCGCUCCUACCGAUGGAUCGUCCGGUGAAGCUCAUGGAGGGGCGGUUGUCUCAGCUGCCGUCGAAGUGAAAUGGACCUCACGAUCUAGAGGAAGGAGAAGUCGUAACA